ACUCAAAGAAGUGGUUCUGACAUUAUUAUAUUUAAAAACAACAAUAAAUAGACAGAAGGACCAUCUGAGCUGCACUAAUUGGAAGCUAUUGAAAGGGACACCUAUAUGUUACCCAGAGGAAGCUACCGUUAGCAGAAAAACAAAGUGGCAGCAGGACCUAGAAACGCCUUUAUUUUGUGUGCACAAAACCCCCGGAGCGGCACGACCCCCUCCUAGAUGCAGGCAGCGUCUUGACAGCGCGUCCUCCUCCUCGGAUUAAACUCUAAUCUGACACAGAGUGGGGAGCAGCAGCCCAGGGGCGGAUUUCCUCCAACAUGGUGGAGGCCAGCCGCUGUGACGGGAAUAUGGAAACGUAACACGAGGGGUUAGGGGUGGGUUCAUCAACACAAACUCUGAAUUCAGAAAAAGAAGAAAGGCAAAGACUUGAAGGGAAGAGUGAAGAAGUAGCAAAAUACUACCGCAACCGCUGUGUUUAUGUUAUCAAAUAAAUAAGUUGUCUUUAAGCACUCA
Molecule: long non-coding RNA, 510 nt
Organism: Girardinichthys multiradiatus
Lineage: Eukaryota; Metazoa; Chordata; Actinopteri; Cyprinodontiformes; Goodeidae
Exons: 2
Source: RefSeq, a predicted model, not a curated record